Molecule: ribosomal RNA, 187 nt
Filed under: uncultured rumen bacterium
Lineage: Bacteria
Description: partial 16S ribosomal RNA
Rfam family: Bacterial small subunit ribosomal RNA
Source: RNAcentral
UACGGGAGGCAGCAGUGAGGAAUAUUGGUCAAUGGGCGCGAGCCUGAACCAGCCAAGUAGCGUGCAGGACGACGGCCCUAUGGGUUGUAAACUGCUUUUAUACAGGGAUAAAGUCACCUACGUGUAGGUGUUUGUAGGUACUGUAUGAAUAAGGACCGGCUAAUUCCGUGCCAGCAGCCGCGGUAAU